UACGGAAGGCAGCAGUGGGGAAUAUUGCACAAUGGGCGCAAGCCUGAUGCAGCCAUGCCGCGUGUAUGAAGAAGGCCUUCGGGUUGUAAAGUACUUUCAGCGGGGAGGAAGGCGAUGCGGUUAAUAACCGCGUCGAUUGACGUUACCCGCAGAAGAAGCACCGGCUAACUCCGUGCCAGCAGCCGCGGUAAUACGGAGGGUGCAAGCGUUAAUCGGAAUUACUGGGCGUAAAGCGCACGCAGGCGGUCUGUUAAGUCAGAUGUGAAAUCCCCGGGGCUUAACCUGGGAACUGCAUUUUGAAACUGGCAGGCUUGAGUCUUGUAGAGGGGGUAGAAUUCCAGGUGUAGCGGUGAAAUGCGUAGAGAUCUGGAGGAAUACCGGUGGCGAAGGCGGCCCCUGGGACAAGACUGACGCUCAGGUGCGAAAGCGUGGGGAGCAAACGAGGAUUAGGAUACC
RNAcentral lists this ribosomal RNA (456 nucleotides) under uncultured bacterium. Its description in RNAcentral is "bacterial SSU rRNA". It matches the Rfam family "Bacterial small subunit ribosomal RNA", at positions 340 to 786 of the family's 1533-position model. The record is from RNAcentral.